This 72-nucleotide transfer RNA is filed under the name Phlebiopsis gigantea 11061_1 CR5-6. RNAcentral's name for it is "tRNA-Pro (AGG) (tRNA-Pro-AGG-1-1, tRNA-Pro-AGG-1-2)". It matches the Rfam family "tRNA". From Rfam's summary of the family: Transfer RNA (tRNA) molecules are approximately 80 nucleotides in length. Their secondary structure includes four short double-helical elements and three loops (D, anti-codon, and T loops). The record is from RNAcentral. Lineage: Eukaryota; Fungi; Basidiomycota; Agaricomycetes; Polyporales; Phanerochaetaceae.
GGCCUGAUGGUCUAGGGGUAUGAUUCACCCUUAGGGUGGGUGAGGUCCCGGGUUCGAAUCCCGGUUAGGCCC